Molecule: ribosomal RNA, 468 nt
Filed under: uncultured bacterium
Lineage: Bacteria
Description: partial 16S ribosomal RNA
Rfam family: Bacterial small subunit ribosomal RNA
Source: RNAcentral
GACGAACGCUGGCGGCGUGCUUAACACAUGCAAGUCGAACGGAAAGGCCCUGCUUUUGUGGGGUGCUCGAGUGGCGAACGGGUGAGUAACACGUGAGUAACCUGCCCUUGACUUUGGGAUAACUUCAGGAAACUGGGGCUAAUACCGGAUAGGAGCUCCUGCUGCAUGGUGGGGGUUGGAAAGUUUCGGCGGUUGGGGAUGGACUCGCGGCUUAUCAGCUUGUUGGUGGGGUAGUGGCUUACCAAGGCUUUGACGGGUAGCCGGCCUGAGAGGGUGACCGGCCACAUUGGGACUGAGAGACGGACCAGACUCCAACGGGAGGCAGCAGUGGGGAAUAUUGCACAAUGGGCGGGAGCCUGAUACAGCAACGCCGCGUGCGGGAUGACGGCCUUCGGGUUGUAAACCGCUUUCGCCUGUGACGAAGCGUGAGUGACGGUAAUGGGUAAAGAAGCACCGGCUAACUACGUG